GGCGCGGGCUCCUGAGGGGCGAGCGGGCCCCUCCGUGCGCCCCGAGAGGGGAUUAAAAGGGCGCUUCAGCUCAGGGGGAUGGUUCAAGCCUUUUCUUGACUUUGCAGAGAGAGAAGUAGCUGAGAGGUGGGUCCCGGUUGGUCGGAGAGGAUGGAGCUGCUUUUCCCACUGCCAGUGCUGUGGAAGGACAGGAGAGAACAGGAGAUGCUGUGGAGGCAGCAGUGCAGUGAGCUGAUCCCAAACCCUUUCCUGUGGAAAGAAAUGAAGGUUUGUACAAAGGGAAAAAAUGGAGAUGAAACAAAUUUCAGGAAGCUUGAUGCAUGGGAAUGGACAUCUAUCUAG
Molecule: long non-coding RNA, 342 nt
Organism: Parus major (Great Tit)
Lineage: Eukaryota; Metazoa; Chordata; Aves; Passeriformes; Paridae
Source: Ensembl